GGAGUCAGACUGCGAGUGAUAAGAUCCGUAGUCGAAAGGGAAACAGCCCAGACCACCAGUUAAGGUCCCCAAAUAUAUGUUAAGUGGAAAAGGAUGUGGGGUUGCUUAGACAACCAGGAUGUUGGCUUAGAAGCAGCCACCAUUGAAAGAGUGCGUAAUAGCUCACUGGUCGAGUGACCCCGCGCCGAAAAUGUACCGGGGCUAAACAUAUUACCGAAACUGUGGAUGAACCUCUUUAGAGGUUCGUGGUAGGAGAGCGUUCUAAGGGCGGUGAAGUCAGACCGGAAGGACUGGUGGAGCGCUUAGAAGUGAGAAUGCCGGUAUGAGUAGCGAAAGAAGGGUGAGAAUCCCUUCCACCGAAUAUCUAAGGUUUCCUGAGGAAGGCUCGUCCGCUCAGGGUUAGUCGGGACCUAAGCCGAGGCCGAUAGGCGUAGGCGAUGGACAACAGGUAGAGAUUCCUGUACCAGUGCUAAUUGUUUAACCGAUGGGGUGACACAGAAGGAUAGGGAAUCGCACGAAUGGAAAUGUGCGUCCAAGCAGUGAGUGUGAGAAGUAGGCAAAUCCGCUUCUCGCGAAGCAUGAGCUGUGAUGGGGAAGGAAAUUAAGUACGGAAGUUCCUGAUUUCACGCUGUCAAGAAAAGCCUCUAGGAAGAGUAGUACUGCCCGUACCGCAAACCGACACAGGUAGAUGAGGAGAGAAUCCUAAGGUGAGCGAGAGAACUCUCGUUAAGGAACUCGGCAAAAUGACCCCGUAACUUCGGGAGAAGGGGUGCUCUAUUAGGGUGCAAGCCCGAGAGAGCCGCAGUGAAUAGGCCCAGGCGACUGUUUAGCAAAAACACAGGUCUCUGCAAAACCGUAAGGUGACGUAUAGGGGCUGACGCCUGCCCGGUGCUGGAAGGUUAAGAGGAGUGCUUAGCUUCGGCGAAGGUACGAAUUGAAGCCCCAGUAAACGGCGGCCGUAACUAUAACGGUCCUAAGGUAGCGAAAUUCCUUGUCGGGUAAGUUCCGACCCGCACGAAAGGCGCAACGAUCUGGGCACUGUCUCAACGAGAGACUCGGUGAAAUUAUAGUACCUGUGAAGAUGCAGGUUACCCGCGACAGGACGGAAAGACCCCGUGGAGCUUUACUGCAACCUGAUAUGGAAUGUUUGUACCGCUUGUACAGGAUAGGUAGGAGCCGAAGAGACGUGUGCGCUAGCAUACGAGGAGGCAAUGGUGGGAUACUACCCUGGCUGUAUGACCAUUCUAACCCGCCACGCUUAGCGCGUGGGGAGACAGUGUCAGGUGGGCAGUUUGACUGGGGCGGUCGCCUCCUAAAGAGUAACGGAGGCGCCCAAAGGUUCCCUCAGAAUGGAUGGAAAUCAUUCGCAGAGUGUAAAGGCACAAGGGAGCUUGACUGCGAGACUGACAAGUCGAGCAGGGACGAAAGUCGGGCUUAGUGAUCCGGUGGUUCCGCAUGGAAGGGCCAUCGCUCAACGGAUAAAAGCUACCCCGGGGAUAACAGGCUUAUCUCCCCCAAGAGUCCACAUCGACGGGGAGGUUUGGCACCUCGAUGUCGGCUCGUCGCAUCCUGGGGCUGUAGUCGGUCCCAAGGGUUGGGCUGUUCGCCCAUUAAAGCGGCACGCGAGCUGGGUUCAGAACGUCGUGAGACAGUUCGGUCCCUAUCCGUCGCGGGCGCAGGAAAUUUGAGAGGAGCUGUCCUUAGUACGAGAGGACCGGGAUGGACACACCGCUGGUGUACCAGUUGUUCCGCCAGGAGCAUCGCUGGGUAGCUAUGUGUGGCAGGGAUAAACGCUGAAAGCAUCUAAGCGUGAAGCCCCCCUCAAGAUGAGAUUUCCCAUUUCUUCGGAAAGUAAGAUCCCUGAAAGAUGAUCAGGUAGAUAGGUUUGGAGUGGAAGUGUAGCGAUACAUGGAGCGGACAAAUACUAAUCGAUCGAGGACUUAACCAAAA
RNAcentral lists this ribosomal RNA (1950 nucleotides) under Listeria monocytogenes. RNAcentral describes it as "partial 23S ribosomal RNA". It matches the Rfam family "Bacterial large subunit ribosomal RNA", at positions 980 to 2925 of the family's 2925-position model. Lineage: Bacteria; Bacillati; Bacillota; Bacilli; Caryophanales; Listeriaceae. The record is from RNAcentral.